RNAcentral lists this ribosomal RNA (422 nucleotides) under uncultured bacterium. RNAcentral describes it as "bacterial SSU rRNA". It matches the Rfam family "Bacterial small subunit ribosomal RNA", at positions 355 to 774 of the family's 1533-position model. The record is from RNAcentral.
UAAGGAAUAUUGGUCAAUGGACGCAAGUCUGAACCAGCCAUGCCGCGUGAAGGAUUAAGGCCCUCUGGGUUGUAAACUUCUUUUAUAGGGGAAGUAAUGUGACGGUUCUCCGUCACUUGACGGUACCCUGGGAAUAAGCACCGGCUAACUCCGUGCCAGCAGCCGCGGUAAUACGGAGGGUGCAAGCGUUAUCCGGAUUCACUGGGUUUAAAGGGUGCGUAGGUGGGCAGAUAAGUCAGUGGUGAAAUCUUCCGGCUUAACCGGGAAACUGCCGUUGAUACUAUUUGUCUUGAAUAUUGCGGAGGUAAGCGGAAUAUGUCAUGUAGCGGUGAAAUGCUUAGAUAUGACAUAGAACACCAAUUGCGAAGGCAGCUUACUACACAAUCAUUGACACUGAGGCACGAAAGCGUGGGUAGCGAACA